GAACUGUGCGAACGUUAUUCGGAAUCACUGGGCUUACAGGGUGCGUAGGCGGCUUUUCAAGUCAGGUGUGAAAGCCCCCGGCUCAACCGGGGAAUUGCGCUUGAAACUGGAGAGCUCGAGUCAGCUAGAGGUGCACGGAACUUCCAGUGGAGCGGUGAAAUGUGUUGAUAUUGGAAGGAACACCGGAGGCGAAAGCGGUGCACUGGGGCUGGUCUGACGCUGAGGCACGAAAGCCAGGGGAGCGAACGGGAUUAGAUACCCCGGUAGUCCUGGCCGUAAACGAUGAGUGCUGGACGGGAGGGGGUUCGCCCUCUCCGGUCGGAGCGAAAGCGGGAAGCACUCCGCCUGGGGAGUAUGGUCGCAAGGCUG
Molecule: ribosomal RNA, 369 nt
Filed under: uncultured bacterium
Lineage: Bacteria
Description: bacterial SSU rRNA
Rfam family: Bacterial small subunit ribosomal RNA
Source: RNAcentral